Molecule: long non-coding RNA, 106 nt
Organism: Sinocyclocheilus anshuiensis
Lineage: Eukaryota; Metazoa; Chordata; Actinopteri; Cypriniformes; Cyprinidae
Exons: 3
Source: RefSeq, a predicted model, not a curated record
GGCCGAAGAGAUGUGUGCAUAAAUCUAGAUUUAAACAGAGAGAGUGUGUCUGAACCCCGCAUGUUAUCAAGAAUGCUAUUCCAGAGUUUUAUAGCCAAAUGUGAAA